This 441-nucleotide ribosomal RNA is filed under the name uncultured bacterium. RNAcentral describes it as "partial 16S ribosomal RNA". It matches the Rfam family "Bacterial small subunit ribosomal RNA", at positions 338 to 795 of the family's 1533-position model. The record is from RNAcentral.
CCUACGGGAGGCAGCAGUGGGGGAUAUUGCACAAUGGGGGGAACCCUGAUGCAGCGACGCCGCAUGGGUGAAGGAGUGCUUCGGCAUGUAAAGCCCUAUCGGCAGGGAAGAAGCAAGACGGUACCUGACUAAGAAGCCCCGGCUAACUACGUGCCAGCAGCCGCGGUAAUACGUAGGGGGCGAGCGUUAUCCGGAUUCACUGGGUGUAAAGGGAGCGUAGACGGCCAUGCAAGCCAGGGGUGAAAGCCCGGGGCCCAACCCCGGGACUGCCCUUGGAACUGUGCGGCUAGAGUGCGGGAGGGGCAGGCGGAAUUCCUGGUGUAGCGGUGAAAUGCGUAGAUAUCAGGAGGAACACCGGCGGCGAAGGCGGCCUGCUGGACUGCGACUGACGUUGAGGCUCGAAAGCGUGGGGAGCGAACAGGAUUAGAUACCCCGGUAGUC